Non-coding RNA from Rattus norvegicus (Norway rat), 2194 nucleotides. The record is from RefSeq and is a predicted model, not a curated record. Lineage: Eukaryota; Metazoa; Chordata; Mammalia; Rodentia; Muridae.
AUCAUCUGAUGGACCAGCAAGAAGAAAGAUUUGGCUCUGUCCAAUACUCACCUUUUGUCCCACUUUUAUCCCUCUGUUGUCUUUCCACCUGUCCAUCCACCCAUCUCGGUUCUUAAGAUCUUUCCUUUUCCUUUCCCCAUAUAAAAUCAUGCAUGGCUCUCCAAUUGUCCUUAAGGCCAAGACCUCAACACAAAACCCUCCCUGAUGUAGUGCCUGCCAUCCUAUCCCCAUUCUGCAUCCCCUUUGAUUACAAGUAGGACUUCUCAGGAGAGACAUGGUAGCUGAUACCCCAUGGAAGGAAUUGCUGAGCUUUUAAAGCCAGUACUCAGGAGGGACACCAGCAUGAAAUGCUGACUGACAGUCUGCGCUGGAAUUCUAAAAUCCCUAAGGAUGCUUAUGGAGAUCAGAAGACAACUUGCAGGAACUGGUUCUCUCCUACUACUGCAUUGGAUCACAGGGACUGAACUCAGGCUGUCGGGCUUGGUGACCAGUGCCUUUACACCCUGAGGCUUGUCACUGGCCCAAGGACUUUUCUUUGGAACAGGGUACAUACACCCUCUCUGAUGCACUCUGCGAGCUAACCCUGUCCUUCGUCCCCACAGCUCACCUUCUGCCACAUGGCCCUGCUGCAACAGCUCCGCAGGGCUGUGUGCUGCCAAGCCAGGUACUCAUCCACACGAGCUCGGGUCUGUAGGUCCUGAGGGUACCAGUGGUCAGGUGCCUUGUACUUUCUACUCAAAUACAGCAAGAUGGCCACACUGGAGGAAUGCAGAGGGAUAGAGAACGUUCCCUGGUCACUCUUAAGCCACCUAGGUCUCGGACUAGGGAGUGGUGUACCUGAAUUUCUGCAACCAUUUCUUACCCAGCCUGGGGAGUCUUUCAAAUGCAACAGAGAUGGGAGCUCUCCUCUCCUCAGAUUCCCCCCCCCCCAAGGGUGGGGGGGGUCCUGCCUUCCUGCAGGGAAGGUCAGAGCCUUUCGCUAUUCUCUACCACCUCCCCUCACCCCUGCGCUUGCCUGCAUCACCCCAGCAGUGCUGGCCUUAGCUCUUCAGCCUGUACCUGCGAACGGUCUAAUGUCACAGCCAGAACACAGCUCCCACAUCCCUGGGACAUCAGUACAGGAAGGUCCCUGCUUGCUUACCGCCACCUCAGCAGCCAGCUUCUCUUUCAUGUCUCACUGGGAAUCGCUAACCCUGACCCCACUACGACCUAUCUUGUCUCCGCUGUACUCUCAGCCUGUCACGUUACUGGUUACUGUCGCUCCCCACUCCGAAAUCCGAGCCCAGUGGGGGCCCAGAUUAUGAUGUGCGCAAGCUCCAGGAUUAGACAGCGACCUGGUGCUGAUGCUGCUCAACAGUUGGCAGCUGAGCUCAGUGGGCGAGCCUUGGCUUCUAGGGAAGUAGUUCCUCCCUCCUGGUGCAGCGCCACUCUCUCUCUCUCUGGCACUAUCUUUCCUCCUGAGGGCUGGGCUAUCAGGGAAGCGGCCCAGAAGCAGACUGGGCUCCCCCAUCUCCCAGCCUCCGUUUCCUCACCCGCAAGGCACAAGGGGGAUAGAUGAGGCAUACCAUGUGUUCAAAAGUCCCAUCUCAACCCCAGGUACCUGUUUGGGUUUUUACCCCGGGGCAGGCACAGAAGCCAUCAUCCAAGUAGGCAGCAGCAGGCCCAGACAGGUGGCCUGCCCCACACAGCUUGGCGGCAAGCAGGGAACCCAUUACCUCUCUGCCAAGACGAAGUCCCCAUCCUUCAAAGCCGGCACCUUCCUCAAAGGGUUCACCUGGGCAAAGGCAUCAGUGUAAUGCUGACCUGCGGAGAGACCAGAGCACAGGGCUUGAGGACUCGGGGGCUUUUAAAGGCCUGCCUGUCUCCUUCGCUACAUUCAGGCACCGGUUUUCCGCGAGAAGCCUCAGUGAAGAGGAAGCCACCACGCUGUCCGGUGGAUCCUCUCACGGAUCCAUUCGCCUCCACUCCCGUGAAGCCUGGGUCUGAGUGCCUACUCGGGUCUGAGAAAGAUUCUGCACCUGAUUCCGUGCAGAUAUGGCCCACAGUCAUCCUAAUUCAGGUGUCCAGUCCCAUUUCUGAGCCCUGAUCGCUAUAUCAGGUGAGAACUGGGUGGAUGUAAUGAGAAUUUUGGUUUCUUUCUUUUCUUUUCUUUUUUUUUUUUUUUUUUUUUUUUUUGUCGGAGCUGAGGACCGAA